Molecule: ribosomal RNA, 125 nt
Filed under: Castor canadensis (American beaver)
Lineage: Eukaryota; Metazoa; Chordata; Mammalia; Rodentia; Castoridae
Source: RNAcentral
CUGUGGCCAUACCACCCUAAAUGUGCCCAACCUCAUCUGGUCUCAGAAGCUAAGUCAGGAUCAGGCCUGAUUAGUACUUGGAUGGGAAACAAAUCUUCAAAAGAGACUGCUCAGAGCCAAACAGU